Molecule: long non-coding RNA, 211 nt
Organism: Pelobates fuscus (common spadefoot toad)
Lineage: Eukaryota; Metazoa; Chordata; Amphibia; Anura; Pelobatidae
Exons: 3
Source: RefSeq, a predicted model, not a curated record
GAACAUGUGAUCGGUGGUGAUUUCUUUUUUGGAGAGUUGGAGCUUUAUGGACAAGGAAGACUUGAUGUAAUAUUGCUGGGUGCUACAGAAAUAAGCUUGGCAGGACAAUGUGCUAUUUAUGGAGAUUUACUGACAAACAUUUACAGCGUGUUGGUUAAUCAAGCAGACUUUUGGUGCACAGGCAUUAAGGAUAACCCAGCAUAUAAUGACG